GGAAUAUUGCACAAUGGGCGCAAGCCUGAUGCAGCCAUGCCGCGUGUAUGAAGAAGGCCUUCGGGUUGUAAAGUACUUUCAGCGAGGAGGAAGGCAUAAAGGUUAAUAACCUUUGUGAUUGACGUUACUCGCAGAAGAAGCACCGGCUAACUCCGUGCCAGCAGCCGCGGUAAUACGGGGGGUGCAAGCGUUAAUCGGAAUUACUGGGCGUAAAGCGCACGCAGGCGGUUUGUCAAGUCGGAUGUGAAAUCCCCGGGCUCAACCUGGGAACUGCAUUCGAAACGGGCAAGCUAGAGUCUUGUAGAGGGGGGUAGAAUUCCAGGUGUAGCGGUGAAAUGCGUAGAGAUCUGGAGGAAUACCGGUGGCGAAGGCGGCCCCCUGGACAAAGACUGACGCUCAGGUGCGAAAGCGUGGGGAGCAAACAGGAUUAGAUACCCGAG
RNAcentral lists this ribosomal RNA (440 nucleotides) under uncultured Buttiauxella sp. RNAcentral describes it as "bacterial SSU rRNA". It matches the Rfam family "Bacterial small subunit ribosomal RNA", at positions 358 to 790 of the family's 1533-position model. Lineage: Bacteria; Pseudomonadati; Pseudomonadota; Gammaproteobacteria; Enterobacterales; Enterobacteriaceae. The record is from RNAcentral.